Molecule: ribosomal RNA, 900 nt
Filed under: Cordyceps lepidopterorum
Lineage: Eukaryota; Fungi; Ascomycota; Sordariomycetes; Hypocreales; Cordycipitaceae
Description: partial large subunit ribosomal RNA
Rfam family: Eukaryotic large subunit ribosomal RNA
Source: RNAcentral
AGGGAGGAGAACAACAGGGAUUGCCCCAGUAACGGCGAGUGAAGCGGCAACAGCUCAAAUUUGAAAUCUGGCCCUCGGGUCCGAGUUGUAAUUUGCAGAGGAUGCUUCGGGCGAGGUGCCUUCCGAGUUCCCUGGAACGGGACGCCAUAGAGGGUGAGAGCCCCGUCUGGUCGGACACCGAGCCCGUGUGAAGCUCCUUCGAAGAGUCGAGUAGUUUGGGAAUGCUGCUCAAAAUGGGAGGUAUAUGUCUUCUAAAGCUAAAUAUUGGCCAGAGACCGAUAGCGCACAAGUAGAGUGAUCGAAAGAUGAAAAGCACUUUGAAAAGAGGGUUAAAAAGUACGUGAAAUUGUUGAAAGGGAAGCGCCCAUGACCAGACUUGGGCCCGGUGAAUCAUCCGGCGUUCUCGCCGGUGCACUUUGCCGGGCACAGGCCAGCAUCAGUCUGGCGCGGGGGAUAAAGGCUUCGGGAAUGUGGCUCCCUCGGGAGUGUUAUAGCCCGUUGCGCAAUACCCUGCGCCGGACUGAGGUACGCGCAUCGCAAGGAUGCUGGCGUAAUGGUCAUCAGCGACCCGUCUUGAAACACGGACCAAGGAGUCGUCUUCGUAUGCGAGUGUUCGGGUGUCAAACCCCUACGCGGAAUGAAAGUGAACGCAGGUGAGAGCUUCGGCGCAUCAUCGACCGAUCCUGAUGUUCUCGGAUGGAUUUGAGUAAGAGCAUACGGGGCCGGACCCGAAGAAGGUGAACUAUGCCUGUAUAGGGUGAAGCCAGAGGAAACUCUGGUGGAAGCUCGCAGCGGUUCUGACGUGCGAAUCGAUCGUCAAAUAUGGGCAUGGGGGCGAAAGACUAAUCGAACCUUCUAGUAGCUGGUUCCGCGGCCCUCUCUCUCUCCGACGAAAAAGAG